UUCUAGUCCCGAUCGAAAUGGAAAUCCUUUUUUUGUGCAUUUAACAAAAAAAGAUUGGAAAGAAGAGCGGGCAGAGUU
This 78-nucleotide small RNA is filed under the name Halpernia frigidisoli. RNAcentral describes it as "Flavo-1 RNA". It matches the Rfam family "Flavo-1 RNA". Lineage: Bacteria; Pseudomonadati; Bacteroidota; Flavobacteriia; Flavobacteriales; Weeksellaceae. The record is from Rfam by way of RNAcentral.